AGUCGAACGGUGGUAGCAAUACCAUAGUGGCGCACGGGUGCGUAACACGUAACUAACCUACCUAUAACUGGGGGAUAGCCCGCCGAAAGGCGGAUUAAUACCGCAUAAGCUCUUGACCCGGCAUCGGGUUAUUAGUAAAGAUUUAUUGGUUAUAGAUGGGGUUGCGGGUCAUUAGCUAGUUGGUUGGGUAACGGCUGACCAAGGCGACGAUGACUAGGGGAGCUGAGAGGCUGGUCCCCCACACGGGCACUGAGAUACGGGCCCGACUCCUACGGGAGGCAGCAGUAGGGAAUAUUGGGCAAUGGGCGAGAGCCUGACCCAGCCAUGCCGCGUGCAGGAAGAAGGCUUUCUGAGUCGUAAACUGCUUUUGACAGGGAAGAAUAAGCCGGACGUGUCCAGUGAUGACGGUACCUGCAGAAUAAGCACCGGCUAACUCCGCGCCAGCAGCCGCGGUAAUACGGAGGGUGCGAGCGUUGUCCGGAUUUAUUGGGUUUAAAGGGUGCGUAGGCGGCCCGUUAAGUCCGGGGUGAAAGCCCGUUGCUCAACAACGGAACUGCCCUGGAUACUGACGGGCUUGAGUACAGACGAGGUUGGCGGAAUGGACCGAGUAGCGGUGAAAUGCAUAGAUACGGUCCAGAACCCCGAUUGCGAAGGCAGCUGACUAGGCUGUUACUGACGCUGAGGCACGACAGCGUGGGGAGCGAACAGGAUUAGAUACCCUGGUAGUCCACGCCGUAAACGAUGGAUACUCGCUGCGAGCUAAAGAUUGUUCGUGGCUUAGGGAAACCGAUAAGUAUCCCACCUGGGGAGUACGCCGGCAACGGUGAAACUCAAAGGAAUUGAC
This 844-nucleotide ribosomal RNA is filed under the name uncultured bacterium. RNAcentral describes it as "bacterial SSU rRNA". It matches the Rfam family "Bacterial small subunit ribosomal RNA", at positions 60 to 914 of the family's 1533-position model. The record is from RNAcentral.